RNAcentral lists this ribosomal RNA (724 nucleotides) under Orthoptera sp. NZAC03009064. RNAcentral describes it as "eukaryotic LSU rRNA". It matches the Rfam family "Eukaryotic large subunit ribosomal RNA", at positions 403 to 842 of the family's 3401-position model. Lineage: Eukaryota; Metazoa; Arthropoda; Insecta; Orthoptera. The record is from RNAcentral.
AACCGUUCGGGGUAAACGUGAGAAACCCGAAAUUGCACAACCGGAGAGAUUCACGCCCAUCCGGUGCUCGGACUUCUUGAUGGCCAGAUGGGGCCGCGCGCCCGCACGGAGUAAUCCGUGACGGAGUCGUUUGCGGUUACCUGUCCACUCGGCUGUCGGAUGUUUUUCGGGCUCGGUGGGCCGCAUUUCUCUCCACGUUGGACGUCGCGACCCGUUGGGUGCCGGUCUAAGGCCUGGGACUGAGCCUGCCCGAUCGCUUUGCGUGACGGGUAGCAGCCCGGUGUUCCCGGCCGGCGGCUCGACGGUAUGAUCGCGCGGAGUUGAUUCGCCGCCUCUCGGGGUGGGCGUCCGGCCCUCGGCAAGCGUUUGCGCGUGGUUUCAGAUGACGGACCUCCGGUCCGGCUCUGGCCCCGCAGCGCUGUUAGCCCGUUGUGUGUCUCGGACGGAAGAAUCGUAGACUCCGGUCAGCGGCGCUAAAGCUUUGGGUAAUUUCACGACCCGUCUUGAAACACGGACCAAGGAGUCUAACAUGUGCGCGAGUCAUUGGGCUGUAAAACCCAGAGGCGUAAUGAAAGUGAAGGUCUCGCCUUGCGCGGACCGAGGGAAGAUGGAGCACGCGUCAGCGUGUCUUCCGCAUUCCCGGGGCGUCUCGUUCUCAUUGCGAGUUGAGGCGCACCCAGAGCGUACACGUUGGGACCCGAAAGAUGGUGAACUAUGCCUGGCC